UUCUUUUGCAGCAGUAUAUUGAUUGUGCUAAUAUCACAGUACAGCCAGUGUCUAUUAAUACAACACUCAACUCUACUGUUGUCUUUUCUUGUGAAGCUGUGGCUGAUGAUCUCAGUUUCAGGGUCAAUAAUGAUUCAGCUACUGAUACAUAUGUUAUAGCUAAAGGAUUUAGUGUAAUUACAAGUGAUGCUGGCACUAAAAGGGCAGAGCUACAAGCAAUAGCUUAUAAACAUAAUAAUAAUACUGAAGUGAAGUGUAGAGCUGUUACUGAUGAACCUCUUCAGGCAGUGUUCAGUAAUACAUCGAUAUUAAUAAUACAAGGUCUAUUGGAUAGUGUUGUUGAUCUGGAUUAUACCUUUA
Molecule: long non-coding RNA, 360 nt
Organism: Amphimedon queenslandica
Lineage: Eukaryota; Metazoa; Porifera; Demospongiae; Haplosclerida; Niphatidae
Exons: 3
Source: RefSeq, a predicted model, not a curated record